This is an RNA transcript of Sander lucioperca (pikeperch), 1755 nucleotides long. RefSeq lists it as uncharacterized. NCBI's taxonomy places the organism in Eukaryota, Metazoa, Chordata, Actinopteri, Perciformes, Percidae. The transcript is spliced from 2 exons. The record is from RefSeq and is a predicted model, not a curated record.
GCCUUUCCACUGACUGCCACGUCGAGCUAUGUAAGGAACAGCAGGUUUUUAACUUACUGUACUUUUUCCUGUAACAAACCUGACGUCUGGGAGAAACACUGGAAGAGCGAGCCAAAACAAAUUUCUCAGCGUGGAACUGUUGACAACUUGGACUCUGCCGUUCCUGUGAGCACAGCAAAGACAGAGUGAGCAGUCGUGGAGAUAUCAUGAGGCAGCUCAAAGGCAAACCCAAAAAAGAAACGUCCAAGGACAAGAAGGAACGUAAGCAGGCCAUGCAGGAAGCCCGACAGCAGGUGGCCACUAUAGUACUGCCUACACUAGCUGUAGUGGUGCUGCUCAUCGUUGUCUUUGUCUAUGUGGCCACCAGGCCUGGUGCUAUAGAGUAGACCUUCAAGUUCUACUAAGAAGACAUGAACUCCUAAACUAAUGGGCUUUGAAAACUGACAAUGGCUAUACCCAAAGGAUUUCCCCCAUCAUGUGACAACCUGUCUGAAAGCGACCCUCCCCAAAGUGUGUUUCUUUGCUCUAAGAAGGAUUCAAGCUGCAGAAAGAAGAAAUCAAACUGAGCGGAGAAACAAUUGCUCCUUAGUGCCUUCAGAUAACAUCAUCAACAUCCAUUUAAUCCUGUUCAUUUUAGAGCAGCACAUGCAUUCAUGUUGUCUUACAAAAUUAUGCAAUAUCAUGCAUAACAAAGGACUCACGCACAGCUUGCCAAGUUUGACCAGAGGUGUUAAAAAAAUGUCUAAACUUUUGACUCGGUGCUAUUUUGAAUAUUUCAAGUCAAUGCAACAUGAGCCUGGUCUCUGACAUGUACCACUCUUUGGACAGCACCCACGCCUAUCUAUAUGAAUAGUAUGUAUGAAAAGUGUUUUAGGGACAAGAAGGAUUCAGUUUGCUCCUGCCUUGUUGAAUAUCUAAAUGCAGCUCCAGAGUAUCUUAUUGAAUGUAAUUGUAAAAUAUGUUCUCUUAAGUCCAGUAUGUUCAAACACACCCGAAUUUCUUCAUCUUUAAUGUGAAUGUUACCCAAUUUGUUUAUAUUAAGUUAUUGACAACUAUACCUUUGAGUUACUCAUGACAUCUGUGUGGAUGUAAUAAGGUGCCUUAACAGAUUUGCAACUAUUAUUUCAGUUAAAUAAAAGAAAAAUUUAAUAAUUUUGAGUUUGGUUAGUGUUUUAGAAUUCUUGAUAGAUAAGCAUUGAAGCCAGACCAUACUCCAGCGUUGACACAGCACUGCUGAGAUCUUGCGAUGCAAGACUAGGUAGUAUUUAAAUGUAUUCACUGAGCUUUAGUCUGGUUCUGAUUACUUAUGUUUUUAUUUGUAAGUCCGUCCUGGUAAAAUGUGAUGUCUAUCUGUUGCUUCAACUUAUUCAGUCACAUUUAUGUGGGAUUCAGUUGGUCCAGUAGAGGUGGGGAUGAUCUGGUGUCAGAAGUGUUUGAAUCUUUCACACAGGGACUUUAAAAAUAUGCAUAUUAACUCUUAGACAGGGUGGGAUGACACAAGUAGUGCUUAGAUACUAGUAUCGUACUGUGUACUUUUAUUGUACUUCUGUUGAGUACAGCUAUAAGCCUAUUGGUUUACACUAAAGAUGUAAAUCUUUAAAAACAACAAAUGUAUAGUUUAAUUCUACUAAAUUUUUUUCUGAAACAGCUGCCCACUGUAGAUUUUAACAAAUGUUAUCUUACUCAAACAUUAUAGUAUUUGGGGCAGCAGGACAGUGUAUGUGGGACAAUAAAGUGUUUUUUCAUGGCAAUGAA